GGAUAAAACUUGGCUUUUCGUGGACAAGGACCGUGAUCCAGGAGUUAAAUCGCUCCUUUUAAGGCCGUUCUCUCCCAGCCCUGUGAGAAGAGGUAAUUUUGCAAAUUAGCCCAAGAACCCUAAAUGAGUUAACCCCUGUGAAGCAGGAGUACGUCUCGCUCCACCACCAAAGGUUUAGGCCUGCACGUUCCAGACCCUUCUGCUGCCUUCUCCCUCUGGGCCUGUUCACGUCACUCCAGCUCUUCUCCAAGGAGCCGGCUGGGUCUGGCCGGAGACGCUGCCAGCUCCACGGAGCCGUCAGCCUUCAGAGCAGCACCUUGGGCCAGGAAACACGGACAGGGGGAGUUCUGUGUGCGACUAAUGGACCCCAGAUAGAGCCACUCUUCAGUCACUGCCGUCACUUGAAAAUGCAUUUCCAGUUGACAAUAGCCGUCUGCCUAUAGAUAGCUCCACGCAAGAUGGCUGGUCAGGCUGCUCUCCCAGAUGCCUGGGUCAGCAAUUUCCAAAGCAUCCAGUCAGCAGUUCCUGCUUCCUCCAGCAAAGUCUGGCUCUCUCCUCCCAUCUCCCAGUCCCAGGACAGGGUCCGGGCCUAGAGGGGACAGUGGCCGCCCCAAUCCGUUGCCAACAGCAGGCCCCUCUCUCUGCGCUGCCUCCAGGCCCCCAGCAUCCACUUUUUAAAGGUGCCACCCGUGCCACCAGGAAGUCUCGUGUUCAGAAGUGUUCCCCAGUCACAGUGCCUGGUCACCUGCAGGAGGCGCACCUGUGCUGCCCAGAUGCCGACAAAGCCCAGAGCGAGCAGGCAACUCCCCACAGGACUCAGUGAACCAGGUUUGAACCCAGGUCGGCUGAUUUAUGCCCAUGUGUGUCUAUGCUGUUUAUAUGCGGGAACACACGUGCAUAUGGCUGUGUGCACAUAUAGGUGCACACAUAACUACGAGUGUUUGUGCGUCUGUGAGUGUAUGUAGGCAUAUGCACACAUGUACCUGUACACGCCUGUGUGUUCACGUGUGCAUAUGUGUGGG
This 1022-nucleotide long non-coding RNA is filed under the name Sus scrofa (pig). RNAcentral describes it as "lncRNA (ENSSSCG00070020070.1)". The record is from RNAcentral. Lineage: Eukaryota; Metazoa; Chordata; Mammalia; Artiodactyla; Suidae.